This 214-nucleotide ribosomal RNA is filed under the name uncultured bacterium. RNAcentral's name for it is "partial 16S ribosomal RNA". It matches the Rfam family "Bacterial small subunit ribosomal RNA", at positions 118 to 351 of the family's 1533-position model. The record is from RNAcentral.
UGGGAACGUACCCUUCGGUUCGGAACAACCCAGGGAAACUUGGGCUAAUACCGAAUACGUCCGUAAGGAGAAAGAUUUAUCGCCGAAGGAUCGGCCCGCGUCUGAUUAGCUAGUUGGUGGGUAAUGGCCACCAAGGCGACGAUCAGUAGCUGGUCUGAGAGGAUGAUCAGCCACACUGGGACUGAGACACGGCCCAGACUCCUACGGGAGGCAG